UGUGGGAGCGGGCUUGCUCGCGAAUGCGGUGUGUCAGUCAGCCUUUCUGUGACUGAUAGACCGCAUUCGCGAGCAAGCCCGCUCCCACA
Molecule: unclassified non-coding RNA, 89 nt
Filed under: Pseudomonas gessardii
Lineage: Bacteria; Pseudomonadati; Pseudomonadota; Gammaproteobacteria; Pseudomonadales; Pseudomonadaceae
Also listed under: 1 other name
Source: RNAcentral